GCCUACCCCAUUGUUGACUGAGGAAAAAACUAUUUUAUUUCUACUGGAAAUUAACAUAAAGGAGUACCUGUCUACAGCCAACCUUCUUUAUCUCUUUUCUGAAUAAUGAAUCCAUUUGAGAAUCUGUUGAAAUUAUGAGUCCUCUCUUCAUACUUGGGUAAGUAUACAACCCAACCUUACAUACACUUUUAGGGGUAUAGACUUUCCUUAAAGGUACAGGAAUCCUAGAUUAGUAAUGCUUUGCGUGUGUGUGUGUGGGGGGGGAGUGAUGAGGGACUGCAAGGGUAAGAAUUAAUGAUAUUGUUCAGCUGCAGACAUGGAGCUAGAUCUGAUACAGAAACAGCAGCAGACAGGUGUUGCACAUCUUCGCACAGAACAUUUCUUGAUGGUGUGGGAGUUUCUUUAAUUAAAAUACGAUGAGAACAGCUGGCCACCAGCUAGAACUGGCAACACAACAAGAAUGUCAAUAAAUGCAAUCACAGACGAACACUUCCAGGCGCAGCUGUUUCUAAUGGAGACUCGGAGUCUGUAGCCCUACAGACAAGAGCUUCAUCUUUUCCAUUUCACUCACACUCUCUGUAGCAUCUUUAAUGUUGAAAAUAAACUGAGAACUUCCCUAGAAUUGUUAAAAAUACCACCAAGGGCAUUCGGGCUUUAUAAAACCUUAGAAAAGUAGUUAAUUCCAAACAACUCACCACAUGUCUUGUUGUGAGUCACUGAGAAAACAAAAAAACAACACCCUUCCCCCCCCCCUUAAAAAAAUGAGUUCAGGACUCAUGACUUGUUUGUCUCUUUCAACUGGUAAACCACAGUCCCACGGGCAGCAGGAGAGGACUUGAUUCCAGGGUGCAAUGCCCAGAGUGAAGGGCAGGGGGCACUGGCGAGCCAGUAAUGGCAGCUCCCCAGGAGAACAAUUACAGUGCAUCCCAGGAUGGGGUCCAGAGUGAUCCCUGGGUAAGUCACAACACAAGGCUACUAGUUCCUUUCCCCAGUUUUGGUAGUUCCUUCCCCCCCCUCCUCAGUUUCCUUAGCUUUAAAAUGGAGUUAAUGUGAGAGUGAAGUGAGAGACUUUAUAGCGUUUCAAAAAUCUGUAAAUCAUUAAUGGAAGGUGUUGUAAUUUUCCACUUAAUUGGAAAAUGAUGAUAAGUAAAAUAAAUUCCCCUGCUGCCUUUUCCAGUUACCUCUUUUGACCUCAGCAGAAACUCUAAAAAUAAGGUAACUACCACAAAGUCUUUUCACUUCUCAAAAUGGACCUGAGUUAAUUUUGGUCUAUUGUGCUGACGAAAAAGAAAGAAACUAGCAAUUUAUCUGGAAGGAAAGGGAAGAGAAUCAAAUUUUCAAAUACCCACUAUGUGCCAGGUAUUUUCCCAAGUAUUUUAUUAUAUUUCAUAUUAUAGAAUCCAUAAAACAAAAAGAAGAAAAUAUUAUGUUUUACAUUUUAUGGAUAGGAAGAGAGAUUAGGUGGCUUCCUACUACACAGCUGGGUUAUCGAAGCCAGGAUCGAAGUCCAAGUCUGUCCAACUCAAAAGCACAAGCACUUCCUACCAAACCAUAUUUUGUUUUACUCUAAGCAUUUGUUGGGAAAUAGGCCUAAAGUGAUAAAAACAGUAAAUAGAAUGGACCAAUUUAGUUAUCCAUUCAACUUCCUUAAAUAGCAAUGGUAUACAGCACUUGCUUUCAAAGAGCACAAGACCAAAGCUUCUUACAUCUGUCUGUAUUUACCAGAAGGGCUCAAUAAAGAAUUAUAGCAGCAACUUCCAAGUAUGUUUUAAAAUUUUUCAAUUAACAAGAAUCUCUUAUUUCAUAAAUCCUGUCAAUAUGUUAACAUAGGAUUAUUCAAGCCCCUGAUUAUCAAAUACCCUGAGAUAAUCACACCACCAAAUCUCAAGUCACAUCUAGAUUUUCACUGGGGGGAGUUCAUACACCCCAGUGGUAAAAAGAGAGAGAGAGAGAGAGAGAGAGAGAGAGAGAGAGAGAGAGAGACAUAAUUGUAUUAGAUGGGCUGGUAAGGACUACUGAAAUUUCAGAGUUGUUGGGUUCACAGGAGCCUGGAGAGUCUUGGAUAAUGACAUUCAGGUUCAAUAAGAUGAGAUUCACAUAUCCUUGAAUUUUGAAGGGCUGUGUUGUGACAAUGCCCCUCUGUCAUGUGGGUAGAUCUAUAUUUUUUAAAAAUACUUAUUUUGGGUGGUGCUGACUAGACGCCAAUCACCAUUGCCUACACAUUUUGGACUUUGUUUCGGAAAGAAUCCAAAUAUUUGUGAGAAGAAACAAACUCUUAAGGUCAAAAUGUAUCCUCAAAGACUGAAGAAUAAGGUACAAUGACAAAGCAAGCCCAGGAACUCUCACUGGAGAAAUCUGCCAGCAGAGGGCAAUGUUAGUUUUCACACUUGCCCUGAACCUCUACUCAGCUGAAAUCAUUGAGUACAAAAAGAUGGGUAGAAACCUUAGGCUAUUCAGUAGAGAUCUUAGGCUAUAAAAUUUUUCUAUCACAGGCAAAUAAGAGUAGAAAAGUGAUAAGGCACAGUGUUGAUUAAUAAAAUUCUAGCACCUCUGAUAAAAAUUAAUUAAGCUUAUUUAUUUUUAAUACCAUUAAAACUCUAGAUAUUAACUGAUUAUAGUGCAGCUAUAGGAUUACCAUAUCUUUAUGGCAUUUCCUUAUUGUCUGACAUAGGAGUUUCUCAACGAUUAUUCAUUGAAUAACUUAUGAGUAAAUAAAUGCUGAUCAAAUAUAGGCAUAUGUAGGAUUGAGGUGGAGGCCCAGAGUAGAAUGAGACCUUCUUACAUUUCUCUUUCUUGUAGAAUGCAGUUAUUUCUGAGCAUGUUUCUCUGAAUACUUCUCAUGGUAUUUAGGAAAGUAAUUUCUGGUCUUUCCACCAAUUUAGGGCAACCUUAAAUCAGGAAGUUUAAUUUCUGUAGUUUUGCAUGAAUAGAAAACAAGUGCUAUUACCUAGUGUGACAUUGAAUCCCAAGGUUUACUUGACAUUGGUAAAGAUGUUUGGCUAGAGGGGAUUCGUUAAAAGUAAGGCUAGGAAAAUUAAAAUAUUAUUUAUCAAUUAUUGCUUGAAUUAAAUUAGUCACUUUAUAGAACUAAAGUCAGAAAAAAAAUCUAGUUUUUUUAAGGCUAAAUUAAAGAACUGUAAUGUACAAAUAAUGAAUCAAUAUGCAUCUUCUGGGUAUCUUGUUUUGUCAAUUUUGGUGUAGAAUUAUAUUAUUAUUUUGUUAUAUAAAAUGAUAGCAAUGUUAAUAGUUUGAAUUAGUUGGCAUAAUGUCUAUUUUUUAACAUCUGUUAAAUAUGUUUCUAAUUUUAUACUCUCAGUUUCAGCAUGUAGCUAAAUAUUUAGCAUUAAGGAAUGCCCUUUGGUGAGGAUUGAAUGAGUCUUGAUGCUUCUAAUAGUUCAUUGUACAUUUGGUUUUAGAAAACUGGCCUUAAGCAUAAACCACAGGAGCAAUAAGAAGACAACUUUUUCUAUGCACUCUCAAUAUUUAGUUGUUUUGUUUUUGUUUGGUUUGGGUCUGCUUAUAAGUUGCAGGAAAAUAAAUUUAUGGAGAUGCUUUAAAUAUAGAACAGUGCAUCUACUGAAAUUUGAGGGAUUAGCUUCAUUGCAAAUGGAAGGAUUUGGCUGAAAUUUACCAUCAACUCUCAAUAAAGCUUUCUCCUAGGGUCAUUCAUAGUAGAACUUGUUUUGCCUCCACUCAGGUUCCUUGUCCCUUGGCUAACACAAGUCAAGUUCCAUAAGAAAAUAAUGCACCUGAUCUUCUGCUGAUAUGAUGUUCUGUUUAAGCAAUUUUUCCAGGGAAGGUUUGGGUUUAUGCUGAUCUGAGCACACUCUUACCCCACUUUGAUUUACAGCUGCAAGGCAAGAAGCCCGCUUUGGGGCUGGAGUUUGUCAGCAAAUAUAGUCAAAUAAACUGAUCCAUGUGCUAAUGACUGGUCUUAUUACCAAUCUCUUCUGAUUGAGUGAAGCAGUUGCAAUUUAUUAUAGUCUUUUAAAAAUGCAUAACCAUGACUCUUUCAGAAACCUAAACUAUCCUUUCCUAGUCUUGUUUUCAAGGUGAUGGUUUCCCUAAGGCAAUGACCAGUGAUAGUGUUGUUUUAGGACACAUUUGCAGUGUUUAUUUAUGUUAUACAGUAUACAGGUCUUCAAUUUGAGUUCCAUUAGGUCAAACAGGAUUUCUUUCAGAUGUUCUGUCUUCUAAGGAUAAGACUUUAUUCUACAUAUAAAAUAUGUUUAUCAAUUACAGUGAAUUAUUUCAUUUUUGUAACUGUAUGGAUGACAAUUGACUAAUUAAAAUCUUUUGCAUUUCUUGAUGUUAUAAUAUUUGUGUCUCAUUUAAAUGUUUUAGGGCUGUUUUGUGAUAUAUUUUAUGCACAAACUUUAAAUUUUACAAUAGUUCUAUAUUUAUAGAAAAGUUGUAAGGAUAAAAAGUCCACAUAUACUCUAUGCCCAGUUUCCCAUAUAACUAACAUCUUACUAAUGUGGUGUAUUUGUUACAACUAGUGAUAAAUAAUUGAUUACAUUCCGUACUUGAUUUACUUCUACAGUUUUUCUCUUUUCCAUUCCACUAUUCCAUUCUAGAAUACCACAUGACAUACAAGGCUCCUCUAGGCUAUGACAAGAAGUCUUGGGAGUACUCUUGCACGGAAGACCUGAGAUGCUGUUCUCAUCACAUUACAUCAGCAACACAUGCUAUCAACAAGACUUGUCAUUGUUAGUAUUGACCUUGAUCAUUUGACAAAGGUAGUGUUGGCCAGAUUUUUCUGUAAGAUUAUUCUUCCCACUUCUUUACUGUAUUCUUUGGGAGCAAGUCCCUAUGUGCAGUCCACAUUUAAGAGGUAAGGGUUUAUCCUCCAUCUCUCUGAGCAGGAAGUUUCUGCAUGUAUUGUUUGGAGUUUUUUCAUAUGGGAGAUUUGUCUUCUUCAUUUGCUUAUUUAUUCAUUUAUAUAUUACAUCCUUAUGUAAAUAUAUAUUUAUACUUUUGAGUUCUAAUUUAAUGCUGUUAAAUAUACUCAUUUAUUUAUUUUUUGCUCAAAUUGUUCCAGGUUUGGUCACUAGGAGUUCUAUUAACUGUCCCUUUGACAUAUCCCAAUAUUAUUUCUGUGGGGGGUUGUCUUUUUUUUAAUUUCUUGCAUUUUCUUCGUUUCUUAUCUGUAAAAUACUCCAGGCUCAUGUUGUUUAUUUCCUGUCCCUCCUUAGAAUCAACCAUUUCUGCAAGGAACCUGACUCCUUUUAUUGGAAAUAAAAUCUUGGCAAUAGAAACCAUGAUUUGGACAGCAAGUGUGUUCAUUACUUUUGGAGUGGCAUUACUUCUAGGCCAUCUCAGCUGACAGAGCAAGGAGAUACAUGAGAAUACUAAUCUGUAUAUGUACCCAUGUCUGUAUUUACCCAUAGGAAGUCAAACAUGAACUCAUACUGUCAUUCAAAUUCUAAUCCACAGGAUCACCUCAGCCUUCAGGAGACUACCUUUUAAUGAAUGAAAGAAAAAAAAAAGAAAAGAAAAGAAAGAAAGAAAGAAAGAAAGAUCUAGAUUUUUCUUGUAUAAAUUGAAAAUAAAAAGGAAGGAAAGGAAGAAGAUUGGUUUUCAUAAUAUAUUCCUUUAUUUCUUCAGAGGAGUUAUCCACCAUCUUUUGAUUAAUGUGAUUCAAGCAGGACUGGGUUCUUAAAAAAAAAAAAGAAAGAAAGGUAAAGACAAUGGGCAUGAAUCCAGUUUGUUAUUAUCAGAGCCAACACCUUUCUCCUUUCAUUAAUUGGUAUAAAAAAAAAGUAUGGGGAAACUUGUGAACAGCUGCAGUUCUUCUGAAAAGAGAGCAAGAACAGUCUUAAAUUAUAUUAGAAGAAAUAGGGAAACUAUUCUGAUAAAGAGUUACUGAAUGUUGGAAUGUAAGAUAAGAAGUUAGAAUUUCUUCUUCUGUUUUUUAAAAUUAGGCCAGAUUCCUAGCUGUCUAGGAGAGUAGGUGUUUUUCUGAUUUUUAAAGCUCUUUUCCUCCCUGAUUUCUGGGAUUUUCUGCACACAUAUUUAGAUCCUUAGCGCAGGGAAAUUCCUAUGUUGAAGACACAGGAAGGUGAUAAGAAAAAUAGAGGGGGGGGGGAACAAGAAUAAAAAUGGGGAAAAAAGGUUUUAUCCUUUUUAAAAACUCCAUGUUUAGAAUAAAAGUGAAAACAGAAAAUGGAUUGUAUUUACCACCUUUUCAUAUUUCUUAAUCAGCAUCAAGUGCAAAUAUUGCAAUAUUGAUUUGCCCCUUUAAUAGCUCCUAAUGGUUAACAGAAACUGAUCAUAGGCAAUAAUAUAUAUUGCCUCCUAACAAACAGAUAAAUGCUUAGAUAUUUACAGUGUAAUACUGUUCCUUUGGUUAUUUUUUGUUUUUGUUUUUUUUAAAGAGGAUUUAUUUUAUUUUAUUUUUAACUACAGUAUUCUAAAUUGCCCUCACUUCUGUGGCAUUUUGAUUAUGUACCUGGAGCUAAGUAAUGAUGUUUUACCUAAACAAGAUGACUUAAAAAAUUAUUUGGGACUUAUAAUGAUAUGCUCUACAAAAUACAUUUUUUUCUACAAAUGUCAUGUGUAGGCCAAUAACAAAAUUAUUUUGCAUGAUGGCAAUGGAUUGUAUUGGAAAGAUCCGGUUUUACUACUGACCUUCCACAUACCACUGAUACAAUCUUGGGCAAAUUGCUUGUCAUUUUGAGUCUCAUUUGCUCAUCUUUGAAAUGGUUAUAGAAAUAUUUAUCUUGUAUAUUUAUUUAUUUAAAUAUUUAUGGUUGGUGUAAAUAUCAAAUGGGCCUGUGGACAUAUUAUACGUAAGUGCUAAGAGUGUGUUAUAAAGUAUUCAGAUGGCAAUUAUUAUUAUCACCAUUAUUGCUAAUCAUAAUGAAUUCAUUAAGGAAGCAUUAUUGAAUAAUGGAGAAUGAUAUUGGCCAAAUUAUAUUGUUAUAUUGUGUGCAUGUAUGAAUAUAUAAUAAGAAAUCUCACCAUUAUGUACAACUAUAAUGAGCCAUAAAU
RNAcentral lists this long non-coding RNA (6993 nucleotides) under Marmota monax (woodchuck). Lineage: Eukaryota; Metazoa; Chordata; Mammalia; Rodentia; Sciuridae. The record is from RNAcentral.